RNAcentral lists this small RNA (1866 nucleotides) under Pongo abelii (Sumatran orangutan). RNAcentral describes it as "retained intron". Lineage: Eukaryota; Metazoa; Chordata; Mammalia; Primates; Hominidae. The record is from RNAcentral.
CAAGGUUUCAUGGUUUUCCCACGUUCUUUGGCUAUUAAUUUAAUUUCCCAGGUCACGUAGACAAUCAUUGAUAAUUGAAACAAGUCCUGAGUUGAAAUAACCUUGAGUUGAGCAAAAAUAUCCUCAUUUUGGCAGAAGCUGGGCUUGGUAGUACAGUAAAAUUUUAGUGUAAUGUGCUCUUGUAAUUGAAAGGGGAUAGAUAAUCUGGAUGUUUCUGCAAAGGAAAAUAGGUGUGUACUUAACAGCUUUGGCUCUACCCAGUUUCUUAAAAAGAUAAGAGCAAAAAAAGUUAAAUGUUUUGAUUAAGUUUCCUUUAAAUUGUAGUAAUAAAAUAUAUGAAGCUCCUUUUUUUACUUUGCUCUGUGACUGGUUUAAAGGUAAGUUUGUUAUGUUGUUGGUAGAUUUUGCCAGGCUUCUCCCAACAGAGUAGAAGUGAUUUGGCCUCGUAACUUAACACUGGUUUACCACUUUGUUCUAUGUUCCAGUUUUGUAAAGGAUAGUACUGGAAUUUGCGUCUGAAGACCAAUCUUGGUGUGACUCCUGUCAGUAUAUUGGUAAAAUGUAGCAGAGGCAGGAGUUUGGAUGGUUGGAUGGGAUUCCCUUAGGAUUCUACAGCCAAUAAAGAUCCUACUUCCCAUGCAUGUUCCAGGAAUCAGUAAUCCUCUUUUACUCUGUUGGGAUGAGUCUUUUUUUGUUUCUGUUCAGAGUGGUUACUAACUUCACCUUCUUUCCUCUUGCUGUCAUCUGCAUUCGUGCUUCCCACCUGUUGUUGGCAUGUCCUUUACCUUCUCUUUCCCUGCCACAUCAACCUACACACUGACUCAUCAUUGACGUGGAAGAUGUGGAAGAUGUCAAGUUUGUGAUCAACUAUGACUAUCCAAACAGCUCUGAGGAUUAUGUGCACCGUAUUGGCCGAACAGCCCGUAGCACCAACAAGGGUACCGCCUAUACCUUCUUCACCCCAGGGAACCUAAAACAGGCCAGAGAGCUUAUCAAAGUGCUGGAAGAGGCCAAUCAGGCUAUCAAUCCAAAACUGAUGCAGCUUGUGGACCACAGAGGAGGCGGCGGAGGCGGGGGUAAGGGUGGUCGUUCUCGUUACCGGACCACUUCUUCAGCCAACAAUCCCAAUCUGAUGUAUCAGGAUGAGUGUGACCGAAGGCUUCGAGGAGUCAAGGAUGGUGGCCGGAGAGACUCUGCAAGCUAUCGGGAUCGUAGUGAAACCGAUAGAGCUGGUUAUGCUAAUGGCAGUGGCUAUGGAAGUCCAAAUUCUGCCUUUGGAGCACAAGCAGGCCAAUACACCUAUGGUCAAGGCACCUAUGGGGCAGCUGCUUAUGGCACCAGUAGCUAUACAGCUCAAGAAUAUGGGGCUGGCACUUAUGGAGCUAGUAGCACCACCUCAACUGGGAGAAGUUCACAGAGCUCUAGCCAGCAGUUUAGUGGGAUAGGCCGGUCUGGGCAGCAGCCACAGCCACUGAUGUCACAACAGUUUGCACAGCCUCCAGGAGCUACCAAUAUGAUAGGUUACAUGGGGCAGACUGCCUACCAGUACCCUCCUCCUCCUCCCCCUCCUCCUCCUUCACGUAAAUGAAACCACUCAAGUGGUAGUGACUCCAGCAGACUUAAUUACAUUUUAAGGAACACUUGUCUUUCCCUUUUUUUUCUCUUCCCCUUUUCUUUUUUUUUCCUUUUUUCUUUUUUUUUUCCUUUUUUUCUUUUUUUAAAAAUUUCCUCCCCCAACCAUCGUGAUUUGUCUUUUCAUGCAGAUUAGUUAGAAUUCACUGCCAGGUUUCUUCUGCCCACCAAAACGAUCCAGUCUGUAAUAACAUUUUGUAAAAAAAAAAAAAAAUAUAUAUAUAUAUAUAUAUA